AUUGAACGCUGGCGGCAGGCCUAACACAUGCAAGUCGAACGGUAACAGGAAGAAGCUUGCUUCUUUGCUGACGAGUGGCGGACGGGUGAGUAAUGUCUGGGAAACUGCCUGAUGGAGGGGGAUAACUACUGGAAACGGUAGCUAAUACCGCAUAACGUCGCAAGACCAAAGAGGGGGACCUUCGGGCCUCUUGCCAUCGGAUGUGCCCAGAUGGGAUUAGCUAGUAGGUGGGGUAACGGCUCACCUAGGCGACGAUCCCUAGCUGGUCUGAGAGGAUGACCAGCCACACUGGAACUGAGACACGGUCCAGACUCCUACGGGAGGCAGCAGUGGAGAAUAUUGCACAAUGGGCGCAAGCAUGAUGCAGCCAUGCCGCGUGUAUGAAGAAGGCCUUCGGGUUGUAAAGUACUUUCAGCGGGGAGGAAGGGAGUAAAGUUAAUACCUUUGCUCAUUGACGUUACCCGCAGAAGAAGCACCGGCUAACUCCGUG
This 490-nucleotide ribosomal RNA is filed under the name uncultured bacterium. RNAcentral's name for it is "partial 16S ribosomal RNA". It matches the Rfam family "Bacterial small subunit ribosomal RNA", at positions 30 to 507 of the family's 1533-position model. The record is from RNAcentral.